RNAcentral lists this ribosomal RNA (610 nucleotides) under Rhodotorula mucilaginosa. Its description in RNAcentral is "eukaryotic LSU rRNA". It matches the Rfam family "Eukaryotic large subunit ribosomal RNA", at positions 50 to 664 of the family's 3401-position model. The record is from RNAcentral. Lineage: Eukaryota; Fungi; Basidiomycota; Microbotryomycetes; Sporidiobolales; Sporidiobolaceae.
GCGGAGGAAAAGAAACUAACAAGGAUUCCCCUAGUAGCGGCGAGCGAAGCGGGAAGAGCUCAAAUUUAUAAUCUGGCACCUUCGGUGUCCGAGUUGUAAUCUCUAGAAAUGUUUUCCGCGUUGGACCGCACACAAGUCUGUUGGAAUACAGCGGCAUAGUGGUGAGACCCCCGUAUAUGGUGCGGACGCCCAGCGCUUUGUGAUACAUUUUCGAAGAGUCGAGUUGUUUGGGAAUGCAGCUCAAAUUGGGUGGUAAAUUCCAUCUAAAGCUAAAUAUUGGCGAGAGACCGAUAGCGAACAAGUACCGUGAGGGAAAGAUGAAAAGCACUUUGGAAAGAGAGUUAACAGUACGUGAAAUUGUUGGAAGGGAAACGCUUGAAGUCAGACUUGCUUGCCGAGCAAUCGGUUUGCAGGCCAGCAUCAGUUUUCCGGGAUGGAUAAUGGUAGAGAGAAGGUAGCAGUUUCGGCUGUGUUAUAGCUCUCUGCUGGAUACAUCUUGGGGGACUGAGGAACGCAGUGUGCCUUUGGCGGGGGUUUCGACCUCUUCACACUUAGGAUGCUGGUGGAAUGGCUUUAAACGACCCGUCUUGAAACACGGACCUCCUGUGUG